CAAAGAGAAAGAAAGAAAAAAGGCCGGGACAAAAAUAAAAAAAAUUCUGAGAAAAAAAAUAUCGCACACGCUUGGUCUUCUAUU
This 84-nucleotide non-coding RNA is filed under the name Lotharella oceanica. Lineage: Eukaryota; Cercozoa; Chlorarachniophyceae. The record is from RNAcentral.